GGCGAGACUGCCCAGAUCAACUGGGAGGAAGGUGGGGACGACGUCAGGUCAGUAUGGCCCUUAUGCCCAGGGCUGCACACGUACUACAAUGCCCAGUACAGAGGGGGCCGAAGCCGCGAGGCGGAGGAAAUCCUGAAAACUGGGCCCAGUUCGGACUGUAGGCUGCAACCCGCCUACACGAAGCCGGAAUCGCUAGUAAUGGCGCAUCAGCUACGGCGCCGUGAAUACGUUCCCGGGUCUUGUACACACCGCCCGUCACAUCAUGGAAGCCGGUCGCACCCGAAGUAUCUGAAGCCAACCGCAAGGAGGCAGGGUCCUAAGGUGAGACUGGUAACUGGGAUGAAGUCGUAACAAGGUAGCCGUAGGGGAACCUGCGGCUGGAUCACCUCCUUUCUAUGGAGCAAGU
RNAcentral lists this ribosomal RNA (406 nucleotides) under Bacteroides ovatus. Its description in RNAcentral is "bacterial SSU rRNA". It matches the Rfam family "Bacterial small subunit ribosomal RNA", at positions 1142 to 1533 of the family's 1533-position model. Lineage: Bacteria; Pseudomonadati; Bacteroidota; Bacteroidia; Bacteroidales; Bacteroidaceae. The record is from RNAcentral.